This 426-nucleotide ribosomal RNA is filed under the name uncultured prokaryote. RNAcentral's name for it is "bacterial SSU rRNA". It matches the Rfam family "Bacterial small subunit ribosomal RNA", at positions 355 to 796 of the family's 1533-position model. The record is from RNAcentral.
UGGGGAAUUUUCCGCAAUGGGCGAAAGCCUGACGGAGCAAUACCGCGUGAGGGAGGAAGGCUUUUGGGUUGUAAACCUCUUUUCUCAAGGAAGAAGUUCUGACGGUACUUGAGGAAUCAGCAUCGGCUAACUCCGUGCCAGCAGCCGCGGUAAUACGGAGGAUGCAAGCGUUAUCCGGAAUGAUUGGGCGUAAAGCGUCCGCAGGUGGUCGUGCAAGUCUGCUGAUAAAGAGUGGAGCUUAACUCCAUAAAGGCGGUGGAAACUGCGCAACUAGAGUACGUUCGGGGCAGAGGGAAUUCCUGGUGUAGCGGUGAAAUGCGGAGAUAUCAGGAAGAACACCGGUGGCGAAAGCGCUCUGCUAGGCCGUAACUGACACUGAGGGACGAAAGCUAGGGGAGCAAAUGGGAUUAGAUACCCGCGUAGUCC